CUGACUGCCACCGGGGAAGAAUCUCUUUUGGAGAUCCCUCCUCUUGGAGUCUUCUCAAUGAGCCCAGGACAAGGUCAGAAAGGGAAAAGUCCUCAGGAAUAGGAGGGAUCAAAGUGUGCUCUUGUGAGAAGUACUUCGUCUUGAACGGGCAUCCAUUAUGUGGACUGGAACCAAGACAAGGAUGUUGGAUAGAACAGCCAUGACAAGAGGAGGAAUAUUGUAUUAUUUGAGGGAAGACCAACCAAACAAAUGACAGUAACCACCACCACCAAGAAAAGGAAGAAAAUGUUUUCACUUACUUGUCUUAUUUAUUUGCAAGGCUUCUUCUAAUGUCCUCACCCACCCGGAACAGUUUUUCUGACAAGUCUAGCUCUGCUUGCCAGUGUGCUAUUUGCCGCAAGCUCUCCUGAUGCAUGCUUUGGGCUCUCUCCAUUUCUGAUGUCAGAGCUGCAAUUCUCUGCCUCUGUUCCUUUCUAAACAUUGCUUCUCUGGCAUUGAUCUCCUCUAGCUUGCUUUGAGAAGCUGCCUGCAUCGGAAGAAGACAGUGCAACUUGAAGGAACAGGGAGAGGCAGACAGUGCCACAUCCAUGUGUCCUUGCAGCCAGUUCCCAUACCCAAUGGAAACAAGAUAGCCCUGCUCAGUGAAGGAGCCGUGCUUCAUCCCUACCAUCAACACUCAGGGAAGAAGUCAGAACUGACUAAAUGUCUUUCUGUUAUUUUUACCUCAGAAAGAAACAUACCUGCUCUUCUGCUGUUUUUACAUGAAAGCUAGUAUUGAGCCACCUCCAACUCUAUAAGGAAGGGGAUGAGGAAAAGGCUGCCUAUUUCUUAUGCACCAAGAUCACACGACACACACAGAGACACUUUCAUGCAUCUCUCUUCAGCUCUCCAGCUUCCUUACAAGGAAGCCAGAGGCUCUGCACUAACAGAACUAAGUGUAAGAACUAAAUGUGUAACAGAAAACUCCCAAAAGCAAUGAGCGCAGCGACAACUCAAUGCGGUGUGGAUACAGAUAGGAAUGGCACAUCAGUUUACCGGAGAAAAGAGGCUGGGCUCUUGCUUCGGCCCCGUUUCUUUUGGAGCACUUUCUUCGUGCCACCUUCCACUCUGUGAGAAUGGGCUACAGCCCGCUGCAGUGGCCUGUGGGCAAUAAUGGUGAACCAGGUCCUGCAGCGCCCGAUUUGUCAUUUCUAGCUGCAGCGAGUUCUGCCGUUCCAUCUCCAGCUGUACGGAAAGUUCAAACACCUGCAUGCAGUGGAAAAAAACAAUCUCCCUUAAUCAGAGUGCUCUAAAAUCCCCACAUCCUGGGGAACUCAUUCACAUGUGUGUGUUGAUGGAGCCCCUAGCGUAAUGCGCUAAGGCUGUAACUUUUGCCAAGGAAAAGAGGUGCGUUUUUUCUAAAGCAAGCACGACUUUCUAAUCUUUGCUGAGAAGACUGAUGCAGUCUUGACCCUUCUUUCCAGAACGGCUCCAAAGGAAAGGCACUCGACUCCAAUGAAUUAUGCAACUCCCAUGCCUGUGAAGUAAUGCUCCCGCCACAGACCUCCCUGGAGACAGCUAGUUGGAGAGGUAGAGAACGGGAUGCGUCCCAGCAGCAGUCAGUGCAAGUGGUUUGCACAACACCCAUCUCCUGAGCUGAAAUUGUUUAUAGGGGAGGAAAGCAGCAGGUGCUGAUAUUUUCAUCCUGAAUUACGGCGGCACCAGUGGGAAGUGGACAAGAAGAGCGGUCCUGUUCUCUGCCGGUGCUUUCACCGCAAACCAGGCUGGCUCCUUUCCUUUUCAUUUGCACUCACCUCUGCUAAUGUCCUCUCAGCGUGGAGGGAAAAUGCGAGAGAGUACUUUUGUUUGUCACCAACGCUACUAACAGGGAACAAAGAUCUCAUUUUGCUGUUGAGAACUUGCAAACAGAGCUGCUGAACUCAGAGACGCUUUGUGAGGGCAUGCCUUGUGGUGUCACAGUACUGCCACUACAUCAGGAAAGGCAUCAGAACAGCAGCGAGUCUCGAAGGAGGACAAGCUGCUGCACUCUUCCUUCCCUGGAUGCUGCUCCCAAGCCACUGCUUUGCCCCUCAGCCUGAAAAUGAGCUCCCCGAGAAGCUGCUUGUGUUCUGUGAAGUGACAGGGGAGGAGGCAAGGAGAGUAAUGUACUCUAAGGACCGAGUAAGAGCUUCCACUGCCCCUUUGCAGCAAGGGAUUGCCUCUUACUUGUGGCUGAAAGCGGAUGGCUUUGUUGAUGUUUCAGAUCAGAUCAUGCUCUGAUCAGGAAAACCAUUGCUAACAAUGAUGUGUCUUUUACUGCUGUCAGAUAAAUGCAUCCUGCACUUGUUUUCAGAUUAUUUCUUCUCUUGCACUAUUUAGGAGAAAAGAACAGCUUAACCUGUGCUCACAGGCAUUGCAUACCCUGACAUUAGCCUUGUCCAAGCCUUCUUUCAGCAUCAAGAUGUCAUUCUCCAGGUAACGGCAGUAAUCUUCAGAAUGCUUCAGAGAUGUUUCUGAAGCCGACUGCUUUCUGAAACUGUUGGCAAGUUUCUUCCGCAUUUUUUCUUCUCGCCUCUUUUCAAACUGCGCUGAUAUUUUAUAAUCUGCUUCCGCAGCCUCCAGGCGCUGCUUGAGAACAGCCUCCUUCACUCGCAGCUCCUCAUGUGCCCUUUUUUGCAGCAGCAACUUUGAGUGCUCCAACUCCAGCUGUGCAUAAAGGUCACGCACCUGUACGCAGUGGAAAAACAACAGUGUCUUAUGUUUGUUCUCAUCUUAUUGCUUCUCUUUCACUCGUUGGAGGAAGUGAACAGCUUCGCCCCUAUCAAGGCGUGUUCACAGAUGUUGCAUACCUUGGCAUUAGCCUCAUCCAGAUCCUCUUGCAAUUUCAGGUUUUCUUUCUUCAGUGAGUCACUUAAGUCAGCAGAAGUUUUCAGGGAUGCUUCUGCAAUCUGCUGCUUUCCAACAGCCUCAGCAAGCUCUUGUUGCAGCCGUCCAACUAUUCUCUAGAGAAAUGUGUGAAACAAAAGGUAAAAAACUAAAGCCUGCAUUUUUACUUCUGCUUACCAGUUCCUAUACUUAGAUCAUAUUUCUGAGUGAACCACAAAGGGAAGAAAAGUGGUAGAGGAGAAUUGCCCAACACUCACUGGGGUGCAGAGCUGGGAUUUGCCACUUGCAAAUGGCAGCAGAAAGGGAACAAAACAGAGGCAACUCGAGGAAUGGCCUUCCAGGCAGGUAGCUCAUAGCUGGUAAAUUCUAGAAGUGCCAGAUGCCUUUGGGAGCUGCUCUACUUCAGUGUCCACCUGACCUUUUUCUUGUACUUUGUUUCACGUUUGCAGACAUCACACUGCUCUUACCUGGUUGGUGUUCCGCACAUCUUCCAGCUGCUGACGCAGUGAAAGGUUUUCAUGCUGGAGCUGGGCCACUUGUUCCUGCAGAACUUCCCACUCUGCAGUUUCUUUUCUUGGUUCACCUUUUGCAAGGCAUGAAGCACAACAUUCCUUUGCCUGCCUCUGGGUCUGGAAAAGUGCUCUUUCUGUUGCUUCUAAAAGCAAUGCCUCUUUCUUGAGCGUUUCUUCCCAUUGCUCCAGUGAUCUCUUUUGCCUGUGAGCUCUCCUAUUGGAUUUCUUCUGCUGCUGACUUAAGGUCUCGUUGCUUUUUUGCAACUCAGGGAUGUUCCCAGAGAGGUUUUCCACGCAGGAGAGCUCAAGUUGUGUCUUAAAUCCCUGCUUUUUAUCAUCUGCUGAGCUUGAGUGACUUUCAGAAGUCUCAGUGAGACUGA
Molecule: long non-coding RNA, 3757 nt
Organism: Lagopus muta (rock ptarmigan)
Lineage: Eukaryota; Metazoa; Chordata; Aves; Galliformes; Phasianidae
Exons: 2
Source: RefSeq, a predicted model, not a curated record